CCUACGGGAGGCAGCAGUGAGGAAUAUUGGUCAAUGGACGAGAGUCUGAACCAGCCAAGUAGCGUGAAGGAUGACUGCCCUAUGGGUUGUAAACUUCUUUUAUAUGGGAAUAAAAUGUUCCACGUGUGGGAUUUUGUAUGUACCAUAUGAAUAAGGAUCGGCUAACUCCGUGCCAGCAGCCGCGGUAAUACGGAGGAUCCGAGCGUUCUCCGGAUUUAUUGGGUUUAAAGGGAGCGUAGGUGGAUUGUUAAGUCAGUUGUGAAAGUUUGAGGCUCAAACGUAACAUUGCAGUUGAAACUGGCAGUCUUGAGUACAGUAGAGGUGGGCGGAAUUCGUGGUGUAGCGGUGAAAGGCUUAGAUAUCACGAAGAACUCCGAUUGCGAAGGCGGUCUGCUGGACAGCAACUGACGCUGAGGCGCGAAAGCGUGGGGAGCAAACAGGAUUAGAUACCCUUGUAGUC
This 460-nucleotide ribosomal RNA is filed under the name uncultured bacterium. RNAcentral's name for it is "partial 16S ribosomal RNA". It matches the Rfam family "Bacterial small subunit ribosomal RNA", at positions 338 to 795 of the family's 1533-position model. The record is from RNAcentral.